RNAcentral lists this ribosomal RNA (434 nucleotides) under uncultured bacterium. RNAcentral's name for it is "partial 16S ribosomal RNA". It matches the Rfam family "Bacterial small subunit ribosomal RNA", at positions 29 to 507 of the family's 1533-position model. The record is from RNAcentral.
AGCGAACGCUGGCGGCAGGCCUAACACAUGCAAGUCGAACGAACCUUUCGGGGUUAGUGGCGGACGGGUGCGUAACACGUGGGAACGUGCCUUUAGGUUCGGAAUAACUCAGGGAAACUUGUGCUAAUACCGAAUGUGCCCUUCGGGGGAAAGAUUUAUCGCCUUUUGAGUGGCCCGCGUCUGAUUAGCUAGUUGGUUGAGGUAAUGGCCCACCAAGGCGACGAUCAGUAGCUGGUCUGAGAGGAUGAUCUGCCAGAUUGGGACUGGGACACGGCCCAAACUCCUACGGGAGGCAGCAGUGGGGAAUAUUGCGCAAUGGGCGAAAGCCUGACGCAGCCAUGCCGCGUGAAUGAUGAAGGUCUUAGGAUUGUAAAAUUCUUUCACCGGGGACGAUAAUGACGGUACCCGGAGAAGAAGCCCCGGCUAACUUCGUG